AUGUUGAAGAGAUAAACUAUACAUCCAUCCAUCGAAACGUCAACGAAUACGGCCUAUAAAUACGUAUUAUCAUCAACAUUAAGUCAUAAACGUAAGCACAAAAAAAAACACAUGGCAAAGGCCUUCAAGUACUCAUCUGUUUGCUUCUUUGCUCUGCUGCCCGUCCUCUUGUUGGGAAAGACAAAGGGAGAUGAUUAUUGUCCACCCAUUGGGGAACUGGAGAACUCAUCCGUGGCAUGUCAGAAUCCAGACGAUGGAAACACGUACUGUACCUAUGCAUGCUUUAAUAUCAUCCCUCAACCAGGGCAUACCAUCGGCAGAUGUGAGCAAGAUGUCGACGGCGUUCAUUGUAGGUGCUAUUUUUGCGCUGAUCUUCAACCAUAUCCGCCGUGAUUCCUCCUCCUCUCUCCGUGUUUUCAGUGGACCGCCAUGUUUAAGAAUAACACUGUGUGACAAGGAUUUGGACUGAUCCAUCUGUCUAAGA
This is a long non-coding RNA of Tarenaya hassleriana, 484 nucleotides long. RefSeq lists it as uncharacterized. Lineage: Eukaryota; Viridiplantae; Streptophyta; Magnoliopsida; Brassicales; Cleomaceae. The transcript has 2 exons. The record is from RefSeq and is a predicted model, not a curated record.